Molecule: ribosomal RNA, 449 nt
Filed under: uncultured bacterium
Lineage: Bacteria
Description: partial 16S ribosomal RNA
Rfam family: Bacterial small subunit ribosomal RNA
Source: RNAcentral
AACGAACGCUGGCGGCAGGCUUAACACAUGCAAGUCGAACGCAUCCUUCGGGGUGAGUGGCAGACGGGUGAGUAACGCGUGGGAACGUGCCCUUCAGUUCGGAAUAACCCAGGGAAACUUGGGCUAAUACCGGAUACGUGCGAGAGCAGAAAGAUUUAUCGCUGAAGGAUCGGCCCGCGUCUGAUUAGCUAGUUGGUGAGGUAAUGGCUCACCAAGGCGACGAUCAGUAGCUGGUCUGAGAGGAUGAUCAGCCACCUUGGGACUGGGACACGGCCCAAACUCCUACGGGAGGCAGCAGUGGGGAAUAUUGGACAAUGGGCGCAAGCCUGAUCCAGCCAUGCCGCGUGAGUGAUGAAGGCCUUAGGGUUGUAAAGCUCUUUCAGUGGGGACGAUAAUGACGGUACCCGCAGAAGAAGCCCCGGCUAACUUCGUGCCAGCCGCCGCGGUAA